Molecule: ribosomal RNA, 212 nt
Filed under: uncultured bacterium
Lineage: Bacteria
Description: partial 16S ribosomal RNA
Rfam family: Bacterial small subunit ribosomal RNA
Source: RNAcentral
CAGUUCGGAUUGUAGUCUGCAACCCGACUACAUGAAGCUGGAAUCGCUAGUAAUCGCGGAUCAGAAUGCCGCGGUGAAUACGUUCCCGGGUCUUGUACACACCGCCCGUCACACCAUGGGAGUCGGAAAUGCCCGAAGUCGGUGACCGAACCGAAAGGAAGGAGCCGCCGAAGGCAGGUCUGGUGACUGGGGUGAAGUCGUAACAAGGUACC